Non-coding RNA from Pimephales promelas (fathead minnow), 936 nucleotides. NCBI's taxonomy places the organism in Eukaryota, Metazoa, Chordata, Actinopteri, Cypriniformes, Leuciscidae. The record is from RefSeq and is a predicted model, not a curated record.
ACAAAUAAAUUCAGAAUUCUACCUGGCUUCCCUUGUUUAAUCCACAGCAACAGCAACACCAAUCAACGAUUGGUUGAUUCAACGAAGACUUAUCAACGAUUGGUCGGCUACUAAGCUGCAUACCACUUAAUUAACCACACCCGUUUCUCACAGGAAAGGUGGCGGGUUUUCUACCUGCUGCUGAUUGUUGUUAACAAUCUUGAUUGAUUUCUUGUUCAUUCAGAGAAGAUGGAGGAGAUCGUGGAUGACAGACGAAGCGCAAACACAGACAGGGAACCGGCGAGUAGAGUAACACAGGAGACAGGAGACAUGGAGGACCAGGAAGACAGGAGCAUUGCAGUUUUUCGUGUGAGAGUCCUGCCCUUCUGACCUUUGGAGGCUCAUACUGUUCAAUAAGGGUAUGAAUCCACAUUCUUGCCUUGACACUGUUGACUGGACCUAAUGGUGUGUUGUCAAUGAUAGCACAAGCAUUCACUACAGUGAAGACACCGCAGUCAUACCCAUUUCCUUGUUGUGGAGUAUUCACCACAUCUGAAGUUUUCCAGUCAGAAGCCUGAAAGGUUUCUGUUGCUGAAGUGUACAUGCAAGCUACUACUUUCAUUAGUUUUGGAGCAGCAUGCUUCAAAGUUUUAAGACUGUGGAUUGAAUUGAACACUGAGAUUUCUCGCUCUCUGAAAUUUACAGUGGCAAGAACCCAGUGAUAACCACAGCCAGUAAUGUCAGUGUUGAAGGGUAUUAUGAUUAGAUCAUAAUUUAGAGCCUUUUUUGCAGCACAAAACUGCAAAAUUGGAGUAAAGUCUUCUAGUGCAGCUAGCUGGUAAAGGUAUGUGGGUACACAUAGAAUUGAGUCUGACUUUUUUUGUUGGUGAAUGAAGACAUUAAUUGCCUGCUCAAUUGUUUCCCCUUCAAGCCAGGUCAUUGGAGAUAGACAGCGGC